UCCCAAAUCCUCAACUGUCUGUUCCCUCCAUUCACUCGAGGGAGCAAUAAUGAUCCUCUGGGUAAACUUGGUGUCCUUACUAGCCGUCCUCAGAGGUGUCCAGUCUGAGGUCCAGUUGGUGGAGUCUGGAGGGGAUGUGAGAAGGCCUGGAGAGUCCCUCCGUCUCUCCUGCCAAGCCUCUGGAUUCAGCUUCAUCAGCUACUACAUGUACUGGGUGAGACAGGCCCCUGGAAAAGGGCUGGAAUGGGUGGCAUGCAUUAAUCCAAGUUCUGGUGGUACUUACUACUCGGACAAAGUGAAGGGACGCUUCACCAUCUCCAGGGACAACUCCAAAAGCCAACUCUAUCUGCAAAUGAACAGCCUGAAACUGGAGGACUCGGCAGUCUAUUACUGUAUCCAUCUGUACCCUUAG
This is a non-coding RNA of Candoia aspera, 412 nucleotides long. Lineage: Eukaryota; Metazoa; Chordata; Lepidosauria; Squamata; Candoiidae. The record is from the annotation of a RefSeq genome assembly.